GACGAACGCUGGCGGCGUGCUUAACACAUGCAAGUCGAACGGAAAGGCUCCAGCUUGCUGGAGUACUCGAGUGGCGAACGGGUGAGUAACACGUGGGUAAUCUGCCCUGCACUCUGGGAUAAGCCUGGGAAACUGGGUCUAAUACUGGAUAUGACCUUUCUCCUUAUGGGGUUUGGUGGAAAGUUUUUCGGUGUAGGAUGAGCCCGCGGCCUAUCAGCUUGUUGGUGGGGUGAUGGCCUACCAAGGCGACGACGGGUAGCCGGCCUGAGAGGGUGAUCGGCCACAUUGGGACUGAGAUACGGCCCAGACUCCUACGGGAGGCAGCAGUGGGGUAUAUUGCACAAUGGGCGGAAGCCUGAUGCAGCGACGCCGCGUGAGGGAUGACGGCCUUCGGGUUGUAAACCUCUUUCAGCAGGGACGAAGCGUAAGUGACGGUACCUGCAGAAGAAGCACCGGCUAACUAUGUG
This 467-nucleotide ribosomal RNA is filed under the name uncultured bacterium. RNAcentral describes it as "partial 16S ribosomal RNA". It matches the Rfam family "Bacterial small subunit ribosomal RNA", at positions 28 to 507 of the family's 1533-position model. The record is from RNAcentral.